RNAcentral lists this ribosomal RNA (1018 nucleotides) under Salmonella enterica. Its description in RNAcentral is "bacterial SSU rRNA". It matches the Rfam family "Bacterial small subunit ribosomal RNA", at positions 88 to 1102 of the family's 1533-position model. The record is from RNAcentral. Lineage: Bacteria; Pseudomonadati; Pseudomonadota; Gammaproteobacteria; Enterobacterales; Enterobacteriaceae.
CUGACGAGUGGCGGACGGGUGAGUAAUGUCUGGGAAACUGCCUGAUGGAGGGGGAUAACUACUGGAAACGGUGGCUAAUACCGCAUAACGUCGCAAGACCAAAGAGGGGGACCUUCGGGCCUCUUGCCAUCAGAUGUGCCCAGAUGGGAUUAGCUUGUUGGUGAGGUAACGGCUCACCAAGGCGACGAUCCCUAGCUGGUCUGAGAGGAUGACCAGCCACACUGGAACUGAGACACGGUCCAGACUCCUACGGGAGGCAGCAGUGGGGAAUAUUGCACAAUGGGCGCAAGCCUGAUGCAGCCAUGCCGCGUGUAUGAAGAAGGCCUUCGGGUUGUAAAGUACUUUCAGCGGGGAGGAAGGUGUUGUGGUUAAUAACCGCAGCAAUUGACGUUACCCGCAGAAGAAGCACCGGCUAACUCCGUGCCAGCAGCCGCGGUAAUACGGAGGGUGCAAGCGUUAAUCGGAAUUACUGGGCGUAAAGCGCACGCAGGCGGUCUGUCAAGUCGGAUGUGAAAUCCCCGGGCUCAACCUGGGAACUGCAUUCGAAACUGGCAGGCUUGAGUCUUGUAGAGGGGGGUAGAAUUCCAGGUGUAGCGGUGAAAUGCGUAGAGAUCUGGAGGAAUACCGGUGGCGAAGGCGGCCCCCUGGACAAAGACUGACGCUCAGGUGCGAAAGCGUGGGGAGCAAACAGGAUUAGAUACCCUGGUAGUCCACGCCGUAAACGAUGUCUACUUGGAGGUUGUGCCCUUGAGGCGUGGCUUCCGGAGCUAACGCGUUAAGUAGACCGCCUGGGGAGUACGGCCGCAAGGUUAAAACUCAAAUGAAUUGACGGGGGCCCGCACAAGCGGUGGAGCAUGUGGUUUAAUUCGAUGCAACGCGAAGAACCUUACCUGGUCUUGACAUCCACAGAACUUUCCAGAGAUGGAUUGGUGCCUUCGGGAACUGUGAGACAGGUGCUGCAUGGCUGUCGUCAGCUCGUGUUGUGAAAUGUUGGGUUAAGUCCCGCAACGAGCGCAAC